GCCUCUGGCUAUAGGAAAUUGUUAGUGGCAGACGGGUGAGUAAUGCGUAGGAAUCUACCUAGUAGUACGGAAUAGCCAUUAGAAAUGGUGGGUAAUACUGUAUAAUCCCCGAGGGGGAAAGAUUUAUCGCUAUUAGAUGAGCCUACGUUAGAUUAGCUAGUUGGUGAGGUAAUGGCUUACCAAGGCUAUGAUCUAUAGCUGGUCUGAGAGGACGAUCAGCCACACUGGAACUGAGGUACGGUCCAGACUCCUACGGGAGGCAGCAGUGGGGAAUAUUGGACAAUGGGCGAAAGCCUGAUCCAGCUAUGCCGCGUGAGUGAAGAAGGCCUUCGGGUUGUAAAACUCUUUCAAUAGGGAAGAUAAUGAC
Molecule: ribosomal RNA, 367 nt
Filed under: uncultured Ehrlichia sp.
Lineage: Bacteria; Pseudomonadati; Pseudomonadota; Alphaproteobacteria; Rickettsiales; Anaplasmataceae
Description: bacterial SSU rRNA
Rfam family: Bacterial small subunit ribosomal RNA
Source: RNAcentral